UACGUAGGGUGCGAGCGUUGUCCGGAAUUAUUGGGCGUAAAGAGCUUGUAGGCGGUCUGUCGCGUCUGCUGUGAAAAUCCGGGGCUCAACCCCGGACUUGCAGUGGGUACGGGCAGACUAGAGUGUGGUAGGGGAGACUGGAAUUCCUGGUGUAGCGGUGAAAUGCGCAGAUAUCUGGAGGAACACCGGUGGCGAAGGCGGCAUCCUGGACCGAUACUGACGCUGAGGAGCGAAAGCCAGGGGAGCAAACGGG
Molecule: ribosomal RNA, 253 nt
Filed under: uncultured bacterium
Lineage: Bacteria
Description: partial 16S ribosomal RNA
Rfam family: Bacterial small subunit ribosomal RNA
Source: RNAcentral